AUGGAUGCCCAGGGCGCUGUCGACUCGCUCCUUGGCCGCCUCACCGCCAUCCUCAUCAACGAGGCACAACUGCUCGGCGGCCUCCACAGCGACGUGGAGUUUAUCAAGGAUGAGAUGGAAAGCAUGAACGGCCUGCUCCUCCACCUCAUCGAAGCACACCACCGUGACCACCAGGUGCGUGCUUGGAUGAAGCAAGUGGUCGACCUCACCCGCGACUGCGAGGGCAACGUCGAGCUCUACAUCCACAGCGUCACAGAUGGUGGCCACCAUGCCAGUGGCUUCCUGGGCUACUUGCGGCACAUAGUACACUAUGUGCUCACCAUCCCGGAGCGGCAUCGGAUCGCAACGAGGAUCCGGGAGCUCAAGAUUAGGGCACGUGACGUAAGCGACAGGAGGCUGAGGUAUGGUGUCACCAUUCCACCGGCUGCUGACCAAGCUGACCCGAUAUUCUUGGGCGACAUACCCCGUGGAUUGGCAGACAGGGAGGAAGAUGCUCGGAGAUGCUCUCUUCUUAUCAACUAUCCGGAUGAAGUGGCUUAUGUCGAGAAAAUCGUUGAUGAUAUCAUCAAGUCUUUGCUAGCUGAGGAAGAACUUGUCCAAGAUCCGGCAAAUAGGGAAUCCCACCCGAGGAUAUUUCUCAUAAUCCUGCCAUGGUAUGAUUUCCGAGAUAUUGAUAUAAUUACAGAGAAACUGUAUAAGCGGAAAAUGAGCUCAUUUAGUUGCAAAGCCUUGGUUCACAAGUGCUUAUCUGAAGUCCAAGUAUUGCGGGAAAUAUUGUACCAAGUGGCGCCCCUUCUAGCUGAACAAGACAUGCUCAGGGUGGAAGUGGAGAAGAGUACGGAAACAUCACCGAGUGUUGAUGUGGAGGAUGAGACCAUGCAGCUCACCAAGAAACUCGAGGGGUAUCUCAAAGGUAAACGGUUCUUGAUUAUUCUUCAAGGUAUCAAUGACAACUAUCACUGGGAUAGGAUAAGCUCUGGUGUGUUACAUGCUACUGCUCAUGGUUCUCCUGGUAGUGCUGUAGUAAUUGCCAGAGAUUCUGAUGAUUUGGUCAUCGAGUCCCCUUAUAAAAUGAUCAAACCUCGAGGUCUGUUUGGUGCUUUCUGCAAUGAUACUAGGGAGCUUUGUUCUGGCACUUCUGCAUAUGGGAUAAAAGGCAUUUUAGAUUUAUGUGACCGCGAUGUCUUUGCAAUGAAGAUAUUCCAACAUCUUAUGUAUGUUAACCCUGCAAGGGGUGCAACACAAAUAGACAACUUUCUAGCAACUUUGAAGUUUUGUAAGCUCUCGGAUAAAAGUGUGGCAAUGCAAAUGGUGAAGUUCUCCUACAACGACUUGCCUGCCAAGUACAGGAGCUGCUUGCUCUACCUAAUUAUCUUCCCUGAAGGUGGCCUCAUUAGAAGAACAACCGUCUGUGGAAGAUGGAUAGCCGAAGGCCUGAUAACAUCAAGGGAGAAUGGUGCAGAAGAUGAAGCCGAUUCAUGUUUCAAUGCUCUCCUCUCCAGGAGCCUCAUUCAACCUGGGGUGAUCGGUGACAUGGGCAAGACCAAGACCUGCACAUUGCAUCAUGUUGUUCGUCAAGUCAUCACCAGGAUCGCUAGAGAUAUAAACUUUGCGGACACGGAACUACCGCCCGAUUUGGCUCGCCACCUUUCCAUUCACAGCAGAAUUGAGGUGCAAGCAACUGAUGGCGUUGGCAUUGUUGCAAUUCUUCCAUAUUUGGCAAAGUCAUCUCAGUGGCAGCUAUUGAAGAUGCUGGAUCUAGAAGGUUGCAGAGGCUUAAAGAAGCAACAUUUGAAGACUAUCUUUAAAAUAGUAUUAUUGAAGUACUUAAGCCUUAGAAACACAGAUAUCACUGAACUACCCAAGCAAAUUGAGAAGCUGCAAUGUCUGGAGACCUUGGACAUCCGACAAACAACGCUACGGGCCUUCGCCACAAAUUCGAUCAUGCUCCCAAUGCUAAAGCAUUUGCAUGCUGGCCAGGCACAGUCUCCAAGCAACAACUCUGAUAAGUCUCGGGAUUUGCUUACGGCAGUGCGCAUUCCCAGCAGCAUCAGAAGAAUGGAACAAUUGGAGACACUAUCCCAUGUUGAAGCUUCACAUAGUGUUAAUGAUUUAAGUGAUGUUGGUUAUCUAUUGCAGCUGAGGAAACUGGGUGUUAUUCUCCAUGGUAAGAAAGGUGGCUUGGGUCUUCUAUUCCAACAGAUUGAAAAAUUACAAUGUUGCCUCCGCUCCUUGUCAAUUCAGAUCAACCAACCGGUUUCCAAAACUGAGGAUGCUCCAUGUGCAGAGGAGGUGGUCACAUUAGCCUCACCUCCAAAACUUCUUCAGAGCCUGAACAUCAGCGGCAUCACAAGUGGGCUUCUCACCUGGAUUGCAGAGCUCGAUCAACUUACCAAGAUAACACUAACCGAGACUUACCUGGGGGAAGAUUAUAUACGCAUCCUCGGCAAGCUUGCAGCUCUGUGUUGCCUUAGGCUUCGGCGUAAUUCCUACGUCAGAAGCGGGCUCACAUUCAAGGAAGGGGAGUUCAAGAGCAUCAAGUCUUUGGUCGUCGAUGACGGCAUCAUCACCAACAUUACCUUCGACACUGGAGCAGCUCCCAGGCUCGAGAAGAUUGUGUGGUCCUUCGCCAAAAUGGAUGCUAUUUGUGGACUCUGCCUUCCCAAGUUGAAGAAUGUUGAGCUCAAUGGUGAUUGCGACCCAGAUCCAGUGAGACUAGCACUUGAAAAGCACCCCAAUCUUCCUGAUUUCAAGCAUAAGACACACCACGGGCAACAAGAAGGUGGCGUUGUGGUUGCUGCCUCACCUCCAUGA
Molecule: ribosomal RNA, 2814 nt
Filed under: Triticum aestivum (bread wheat)
Lineage: Eukaryota; Viridiplantae; Streptophyta; Magnoliopsida; Poales; Poaceae
Description: partial small subunit ribosomal RNA
Source: RNAcentral